This 253-nucleotide ribosomal RNA is filed under the name uncultured bacterium. RNAcentral describes it as "partial 16S ribosomal RNA". It matches the Rfam family "Bacterial small subunit ribosomal RNA", at positions 524 to 776 of the family's 1533-position model. The record is from RNAcentral.
UACGUAGGUGGCGAGCGUUGUCCGGAUUUACUGGGCGUGAAGGGAGCGUAGGCGGGCUUUUAAGUGAGAUGUGAAAUACUCGGGCUCAACUUGAGUGCUGCAUUUCAAACUGGAAGUCUAGAGUGCAGGAGAGGAGAAUGGAAUUCCUAGUGUAGCGGUGAAAUGCGUAGAGAUUAGGAAGAACACCAGUGGCGAAGGCGAUUCUCUGGACUGUAACUGACGCUGAGGCUCGAAAGCGUGGGGAGCAAACAGG